GACGAACGCUGGCGGCGUGCCUAAUACAUGCAAGUCGAACGCAUUUUCUUUCACCGUCUCUUGCUACACCGACAGAAAAUGAGUGGCAACCGGGUGAUUAACACCUCGCUACCCUGCCCAUCAGCGCGGGAUAACACUUUAAAACAGGUUCUAAUACCGCAUACUUCCAUUUACCGCAUGGUAGAUGGAUUCAGGGCGCUUUUGCGUCCCCGACCGAUGAACCCGCGGUGCAUUUGCUAGUUGGUGGGGUAUCGGCCUACUAAGGCUGCGAUGCAUAGGCGAGCUGAGAGGGUGGAGCGCCAGACUGGUAACGAGACCACGGCCAGACGGCUAAGGGAGGCAGCAGUAGGGGAUCUUCGGAAAUGGACACAAGUCGGACAGAGCAACGCCGGGUGAGUGAAGAAGGGUUUGGGAUCGUAAAACUCGGUUGUUAGAGAAGAACAAGGAUGAGAGUGGAAAGUUCAUGUCUUGACGGUAGCUAAUCAGAAAGCCACGGCUAACUACGUG
This 507-nucleotide ribosomal RNA is filed under the name uncultured bacterium. Its description in RNAcentral is "partial 16S ribosomal RNA". It matches the Rfam family "Bacterial small subunit ribosomal RNA", at positions 28 to 507 of the family's 1533-position model. The record is from RNAcentral.